CCUACGGGUGGCUGCAGUAAGGAAUAUUGGUCAAUGGACGAAAGUCUGAACCAGCCAUGCCGCGUGGAGGAUGAAGGUCCUCUGGAUUGUAAACUUCUUUUAUAUGGGACGACAAAAGGCCUUUCCAGGUCGUCUGACGGUACCAUAUGAAUAAGCACCGGCUAACUCCGUGCCAGCAGCCGCGGUAAUACGGAGGGUGCAAGCGUUAUCCGGGUUCACUGGGUUGUAGGGGUGCGUGGAUGGCUGUGGAGAAAUCCCCGAGCUUAACUUGGGAACUGCCAUUGAUACUAUCAGUCUUGAAUACCAUGGAGGUCAGCGGAAUAUGUCAUGUAGCGGUGAAAUGCUUAGAUAUGACAUAGAACACCAAUUGCGAAGGCAGCUGGCUACACGAGUAUUGACACUGAGGCACGAAAGCGUGGGGAUCAAACAGGAUUAGAUACCCUUGUAGUC
RNAcentral lists this ribosomal RNA (450 nucleotides) under uncultured bacterium. Its description in RNAcentral is "partial 16S ribosomal RNA". It matches the Rfam family "Bacterial small subunit ribosomal RNA", at positions 338 to 795 of the family's 1533-position model. The record is from RNAcentral.